UCCUCCAGUUCAUCUUCUCAGUGUGCAGCUCUCUGCAGGAGAACCGGAGCUCACACAUCUCUCAAACCUCCCGUUUGCCUUUCGAGGCCGUGGCUGCCGUUUAAUCCGGGUCUCGGGGUAAAUUCAACAUUUUGAUCUUUUGAUAACAACUCUUAACAGGUACAGUAAUAUUGGAGUUAAUCAUCAGGACUCCUGGAUUUCCUUUUUUUCGAUGUUGUGAUUGUGUACCAAAGGCUCACGUGCUUCGUAUUGUGCCAUUGUUCCCCCCCCCCCUCCCCGCCUCGGUUUCUCUGGGACCUUUUGUUCACAGCACAUUGUGUUCCCCUGACUAGCCGCGGUUUAAGGAAGACGAGGCGCCGGUGGCCCGUCUGUGGCGAUAGCAGCGACCCCUGUGGUCUGCGGUCACGCUCUGCAGGUUGCAGGGGAAGUCACCGUGCGGCGUGUGAAUAAAAAGCUCCUCCUAAUCUUCCAUCCAAUCUGCAGAAAAUCAAGAUCAGAGCCACUGAACCAAAUCUUUGUUUUCUCUGCUUCCCUCGGUGCUCCCGAGGAGCGGAGCUGUCAGCAACGCAGAGAGAGAGAGGGAGGGAGAGACGGGGUGAAGAAGAGAGGCGCGAGGGAGGGAGAGGAACGCCGGGGGAGAGGCAUGCGGUGAAAGUGUCGGGAAGAAAGCGGGAGGGAGCGAGAGAGGGAGGAAUGAUGGACAAAGAGCCGCACUGCGAGGGCUGUCUGGCGGCGUCCUUCGAAGCGAAAACGCACGACCGGGGAAGAAGCUCUGGGAGAAGCGAGCAGGAGCUGCUGGGAGCACACUGUAUGCACGAUGCCAUUCGGCUAUUCUAAACCUGGAUACUCAAACAGGGAGAGAGAGAAAUGAAACAGAAGGUGCAGGACAUGCUGACGGAGCGAUGGAAGAGGACAGCGGAGCAGAAGGAAGAAAGAUGGAUGACAAGCGAGGGAGGGAUCUUUCCUCGCCCAGAUGGCGUGCAGACGAUGGCACUUCUGCGCUGCUCUCCAGGAAACUUCCAGUGAUCGGCCCGUACGCAAAGAGGUCAACUGCAGCCCGAGGCGGCGCGCUAUUACUCGGCAAACAAGAAAAGAAAAAAAAGGAUAAAUUGAAGAAAAACAAAAAAAAGCAAACACGCAGCUACUCAAGCUGCUGAUUCAUUUGCGCUGCUUUCCCUCCCGAAGCUGCUGUGAUCUAUGCGGGGCGAUAUUUCAGACAGCAGCGAAUAUGACUGCCAUAAAUAAAACAGUAUUAAUCAUCCCAACUCCCAUUUGAGGCCCUUCUCACAUUUAUCAGGCUUUUAAUAUUAACAUAGAUUAAGGGCAUGUCACUGUACGUAAUCUUGCUCCAGAUAAGAGCUCUGCCAAAAAGGCCUUUGUUGCACUUUGGGAUGUGCAACAUAAUAUCCAACACGGCAUCGAUGCAGACAUUCCUCUGAGAGACGGUAUUAUAUAUCUAUAUCUGUAUAUGUAUAUGUACAUGUAGGUGAAGUGAGUCAAUGUGUUUAAAGUCUCAGCUCUCUAGAUUUUUUAAAUAUUGCAUUAAGGUCUGAAAAUGUAAUCUUUCUGCUGGUCUUUACAUUUUCAUAGAAUCACGUCAUCUCAAUUAAAGUAUCACUCUUCUUAUGCUU
Molecule: non-coding RNA, 1631 nt
Organism: Gasterosteus aculeatus aculeatus (three-spined stickleback)
Lineage: Eukaryota; Metazoa; Chordata; Actinopteri; Perciformes; Gasterosteidae
Source: RefSeq, a predicted model, not a curated record